CUACGCUGCGAUAAGCCGUGGGGAGCUGCGAAGAAGCUUUGAUCCACGGAUUUCCGAAUGGGGAAACCCACCUUCGAUAGCCGGAACUCCAAGACCUUGUGUUUUGGGGUUCGACCAGAAAUGGAAGAAAUCAGACCGCGAGGUUUUGGAUUUCCGGUUAUCAAGAGAAGGUAUGAGACUUCCGAAUAAAAUAGGAGGUUUUGAGCAAACCCAGGGAACUGAAACAUCUAAGUACCUGGAGGAAAGGACAUCAAUCGAGACUCCGUUAGUAGUGGCGAGCGAACGCGGACCAGGCCAGUGAUACAUCAAAGACAAUCGGAACCUGUCAGGAAAGCAGGGCCUCAGAGGGUGAUAGCCCCGUACGAGUAAUGCGAUGAUGUAUCCACGAGUAAGGCGGGACACGUGUAAUCCUGUCUGAACACGGGGGGACCACCCUCCAAGCCUAAGUACUCCUCAGCGACCGAUAGU
RNAcentral lists this ribosomal RNA (468 nucleotides) under Bradyrhizobium sp. Leb-12. Its description in RNAcentral is "bacterial LSU rRNA". It matches the Rfam family "Bacterial large subunit ribosomal RNA", at positions 61 to 491 of the family's 2925-position model. Lineage: Bacteria; Pseudomonadati; Pseudomonadota; Alphaproteobacteria; Hyphomicrobiales; Nitrobacteraceae. The record is from RNAcentral.